RNAcentral lists this transfer RNA (72 nucleotides) under Bacteriophage sp. RNAcentral's name for it is "tRNA-Asn". It matches the Rfam family "tRNA". From Rfam's summary of the family: Transfer RNA (tRNA) molecules are approximately 80 nucleotides in length. Their secondary structure includes four short double-helical elements and three loops (D, anti-codon, and T loops). The record is from RNAcentral.
UGGCAUAUAGUUCAAUGGUAGAACACCUGACUGUUAAUCAGGAUGUCGCAGGUUCGAUACCUGCUAUGCCAG